UACGAGUGCCUCGAGCGUUAUCCGGAAUCAUUGGGCGUAAAGGGUGCGUAGGCGGCGAUGUUAGUCUCCCGUAAAAUCUCUAGGCUCAACCUAGAGUCCGCGGGAGAUACGGCAUUGCUAGAGGAUGGUAGGGGUCUCUGGAACUCAUGGUGUAGCGGUGAAAUGCGUUGAUAUCAUGGGGAACACCAAAAGCGAAGGCAAGAGACUGGACCACUCCUGACGCUGAAGCACGAAAGCGUGGGUCGCGAAUGGG
This 253-nucleotide ribosomal RNA is filed under the name uncultured bacterium. RNAcentral's name for it is "partial 16S ribosomal RNA". It matches the Rfam family "Bacterial small subunit ribosomal RNA", at positions 524 to 776 of the family's 1533-position model. The record is from RNAcentral.